CAGGUGUUUGGCUGCGGCUCAGUUACUGUUCGACUCCAUUAAUGAGUUUUAGGAGUGAGGGACGAAUCCCACUGCUGAGUUCUCAGUAGAGACUCGAACAGAUGUGUGGAUGACGUAGGAAACCUAAAUUUCCCUAAACAUGGAAUAUUAACGUAUUGCUAACGAGCGUGGGAAGAAACUCGAGGUGUAACCGGUGAUACUUAGACUUGUAAUACAGUGAAACUGAAAGUAUAAAGAAUGUUAUAAAGUUGUUCUGCAAGACUUCCAUAAACAAAUAGUCCUGAAGUUGAACAUUAACGUUACUUUCAUAAUUUCCACUGAUCUAGCUCACUGAACGUAGAAAGAUGCAGUAAUAAAAAUACCAAUCAUUUCAUCUCAACAUGUUUUGCAUCACUAAGCAUCCAAAUCUAGGGGGAACACGGUGGCUUAGUGGUUAGCACGUUCGCCUCACAACUCCAGGGUCGGGGGUUCGAUUCCCGCCUCCGCCUUGUGCGUGUGGAGUUUGCAUGUUCUCCCCGUGCCUUGGGGGUUUCCUCCGGGUACUCCGG
Molecule: long non-coding RNA, 548 nt
Organism: Tachysurus fulvidraco (yellow catfish)
Lineage: Eukaryota; Metazoa; Chordata; Actinopteri; Siluriformes; Bagridae
Exons: 3
Source: RefSeq, a predicted model, not a curated record